RNAcentral lists this unclassified non-coding RNA (358 nucleotides) under soil metagenome. RNAcentral's name for it is "partial contains 5.8S ribosomal RNA, internal transcribed spacer 2, and large subunit ribosomal RNA". The stretch from base 1 to 120 matches the Rfam family "5.8S ribosomal RNA", at positions 35 to 154 of the family's 154-position model. The record is from RNAcentral.
GAUGAAGAACGUAGCGAAAUGCGAUAAGUAAUGCGAAUUGCAGAAUUCAGUGAAUCAUCGAAUCUUUGAACGCACAUUGCGCCCGUCAGUAUUCUGGCGGGCAUGCCUGUUCGAGCGUCAUUACGCCCCUCAAGUCCCCUGUGGACUUGGUGUUGGGGAUCGGCGAGGCUGGUUUUCCAGCACAGCCGUCCCUUAAAUUAAUUGGCGGUCUCGCCGUGGCCCUCCUCUGCGCAGUAGUAAAACACUCGCAACAGGAGCCCGGCGCGGUCCACUGCCGUAAAACCCCCCAACUUUUUAUAGUUGACCUCGAAUCAGGUAGGACUACCCGCUGAACUUAAGCAUAUCAAUAAGCGGAGGA